ACUCGGGCAGUUCAUUAACAAAGUUCCAGGGUUAGCGCGUGAGACUUUUAAUCUCAAGGCUCAGGGUUCGAGUCCCUGGUCGGGCG
RNAcentral lists this transfer RNA (86 nucleotides) under Didymella sp. IMI 355093. RNAcentral's name for it is "tRNA-Lys". The stretch from base 33 to 78 matches the Rfam family "tRNA", at positions 8 to 63 of the family's 71-position model. From Rfam's summary of the family: Transfer RNA (tRNA) molecules are approximately 80 nucleotides in length. Their secondary structure includes four short double-helical elements and three loops (D, anti-codon, and T loops). Lineage: Eukaryota; Fungi; Ascomycota; Dothideomycetes; Pleosporales; Didymellaceae. The record is from RNAcentral.